GAUGAACGCUAGCUACAGGCUUAACACAUGCAAGUCGAGGGGAAACGACAUCGAAAGCUUGCUUUCGAUGGGCGUCGACCGGCGCACGGGUGAGUAACGCGUAUCCAACCUGCCCACCACUUGGGGAUAACCUUGCGAAAGUAAGACUAAUACCCGAUGAUAUCUCUAGAAGACAUCUGAAAGGGAUUAAAGAUUUAUCGGUGAUGGAUGGGGAUGCGUCUGAUUAGCUUGUUGGCGGGGUAACGGCCCACCAAGGCAACGAUCAGUAGGGGGUUCUGAGAGGAAGGUCCCCCACAUUGGAACUGAGACACGGGUCCAAACUCCUACGGGAGGCAGCAGUGAGGAAUAUUGGUCAAUGGGCGAGAGCCUGAACCAGCCAAGUAGCGUGCAGGACGACGGCCCUAUGGGUUGUAAACUGCUUUAUAGGGAUAAGUGAGUCUCGUGAGACUUUUUGCAUGUACCUUAUGAAUAAGGACCGGCUAAUUCCGUGU
Molecule: ribosomal RNA, 491 nt
Filed under: uncultured bacterium
Lineage: Bacteria
Description: bacterial SSU rRNA
Rfam family: Bacterial small subunit ribosomal RNA
Source: RNAcentral